This 31-nucleotide non-coding RNA is filed under the name Homo sapiens (human). Lineage: Eukaryota; Metazoa; Chordata; Mammalia; Primates; Hominidae. The record is from RNAcentral.
UGCACCAACCACAGUCCAUGUCAGCCCAUUC